AGAGUUUGAUCCUGGCUCAGGAUGAACGCUGGCGGCGUGCUUAACACAUGCAAGUCGAACGAACCUUCGGGUUAGUGGCGGACGGGUGAGUAACGCGUGAGAAUCUGCCCUCAGGAGGGGGAUAACGGCUGGAAACGGCCGCUAAUACCCCAUAUGCCGAGAGGUGAAAUGAAUUUCGCCUGAGGAUGAGCUCGCGUCUGAUUAGCUAGUUGGUGGGGUAAGAGCCUACCAAGGCUUCGAUCAGUAGCUGGUCUGAGAGGAUGAUCAGCCACACUGGGACUGAGACACGGCCCAGACUCCUACGGGAGGCAGCAGUGGGGAAUUUUCCGCAAUGGGCGAAAGCCUGACGGAGCAACGCCGCGUGAGGGAUGAAGGCCUCUGGGCUGUAAACCUCUUUCCUCAAGGAAGAAGAUCUGACGGUACUUGAGGAAUAAGCCACGGCUAAUUCCGUGCCAGCAGCCGCGGUAAUACGGGAGUGGCAAGCGUUAUCCGGAAUUAUUGGGCGUAAAGCGUCCGCAGGCGGCCUUGAAAGUCUGCUGUUAAAGCGCGGAGCUUAACUCCAUUUCAGCAGUGGAAACUACAAGGCUAGAGUGUGGUAGGGGCAGAGGGAAUUCCCGGUGUAGCGGUGAAAUGCGUAGAUAUCGGGAAGAACACCAGUGGCGAAGGCGCUCUGCUGGGCCAUAACUGACGCUCAUGGACGAAAGCCAGGGGAGCGAAAGGGAUUAGAUACCCCUGUAGUCCUGGCCGUAAACGAUGAACACUAGGUGUCGGGGGAAUCGACCCCUCCGGUGUCGUAGCCAACGCGUUAAGUGUUCCGCCUGGGGAGUACGCACGCAAGUGUGAAACUCAAAGGAAUUGACGGGGGCCCGCACAAGCGGUGGAGUAUGUGGUCUAAUUCGAUGCAACGCGAAGAACCUUACCAGGGUUUGACAUCCUGCGAAUCCCUUGGAAACGAGGGAGUGCCUUCGGGAGCGCAGUGACAGGUGGUGCAUGGCUGUCGUCAGCUCGUGUCGUGAGAUGUUGGGUUAAGUCCCGCAACGAGCGCAACCCACGUCUUUAGUUGCCAGCAUUGAGUUGGGCACUCUAGAGAGACCGCCGGUGAUAAACCGGGGGAAGGUGUGGAUGACGUCAAGUCAUCAUGCCCCUUACAUCCUGGGCUUCACACGUACUACAAUGCUACGGACAAAGGGCAGCAAACUCGCGAGAGCUAGCAAAUCCCAUAAACCGUGGCUCAGUUCAGAUCGUAGGCUGCAACUCGCCUACGUGAAGGAGGAAUCGCUAGUAAUCGCAGGUCAGCAUACUGCGGUGAAUACGUUCCCGGGCCUUGUACACACCGCCCGUCACACCAUGGAAGUUGGCCACGCCCGAAGUCGUUACUCCAACCCGCAAGGGAGGAGGAUGCCGAAGGUGGGGCUGAUGACUGGGGUGAAGUCGUAACAUGGUA
Molecule: ribosomal RNA, 1444 nt
Filed under: metagenome
Description: bacterial SSU rRNA
Rfam family: Bacterial small subunit ribosomal RNA
Source: RNAcentral